This 320-nucleotide ribosomal RNA is filed under the name uncultured Methanomicrobiales archaeon. RNAcentral's name for it is "bacterial SSU rRNA". It matches the Rfam family "Archaeal small subunit ribosomal RNA", at positions 1022 to 1338 of the family's 1478-position model. Lineage: Archaea; Methanobacteriati; Methanobacteriota; Methanomicrobia; Methanomicrobiales. The record is from RNAcentral.
CAUCCUGUUAAGUCAGGCAACGAGCGAGACCCACGCCAACAGUUGCCAGCUCGUCCUCCCGGGGAUGGUGGGGACACUGUUGGGACCGCCUCUGCUAAAGAGGAGGAAGGAAUGGGGCAACGGUAGGUCAGCAUGCCCCGAAUUAUCUGGGCUACACGCGGGCUACAAUGGGUGGGACAAUGGGUAUCGACACCGAAAGGUGAAGGCAAUCUCCUAAACCCAUCCGUAGUUCGGAUUGUGGGCUGCAACUCGCCCACAUGAAGCUGGAAUCUGUAGUAAUCGUGUCUCAAAAUGGCACGGUGAAUAUGUCCCUGCUCCUU